Molecule: ribosomal RNA, 670 nt
Filed under: uncultured Alphaproteobacteria bacterium
Lineage: Bacteria; Pseudomonadati; Pseudomonadota; Alphaproteobacteria
Description: bacterial SSU rRNA
Rfam family: Bacterial small subunit ribosomal RNA
Source: RNAcentral
GCAGUAGCAAUACUGAGUGGCAAACGGGUGAGUAUAAUGUGGGAAUCUGCCUUUUGGUUUGGAAUAACACGGGGAAACUUGUGCUAAUACCGAAUAAGCCCUUACGGGGAAAGUUUUAACGCCGAAAGAUGAGCCUGCACUUGAUUAGCUAGUUGGUAAGGUAAAAGCUUACCAAGGCAACGAUCAAUAGCUGUUCUUAGAGGAAGACCAGCCACAUUGGGACUGAGACACGGCCCAGACUCCUACGGGAGGCAGCAGUGGGGAAUCUUGCACAAUGGGGGAAACCCUGAUGCAGCGAUGCCGCGUGAGUGAAGAAGGCCCUUGGGUUGUAAAACUCUUUCGUCGGGGAAGAAAAUGACAGUACCCGAAUAAGAAGGUCAGGCUGACUUCGUGCCAGCAGCCGCGGUAAUACGAAGGGACCUAGCGUAGUUCGGAAUUACUGGGCUUAAAGAGCUCGUAGGUGGUUAAAAAAGUUGAUGGUGAAAUCCCAAGGCUCAACCUUGGAACUGCCAUCAAAACUUUUUAGCUAGAGUGUGAUAGAGGUAAGUGGAAUUUCUAGUGUAGAGGUGAAAUUCGUAGAUAUUAGAAAGAACACCAAAUGCGAAGGCAACUUACUGGGUCACUACUGACACUGAGGAGCGAAAGCAUGGGUAGCGAAGAGGAUUAGAUA